This 323-nucleotide ribosomal RNA is filed under the name uncultured eukaryote. RNAcentral describes it as "partial 18S ribosomal RNA". It matches the Rfam family "Eukaryotic small subunit ribosomal RNA", at positions 1470 to 1796 of the family's 1831-position model. The record is from RNAcentral.
CCCCUAGAUGUUCUGGGCCGCACGCGCGCUACACUGAACAGUUCAACAAGUCUUAACCUUGGCCGAUAGGUCUGGGUAAUCUUUGAACGCUGUUCGUGAUUGGGAUAGACCUUUGCAAUUAUGGGUCUUCAACGAGGAAUUCCUAGUAAACGCAAGUCAUCAGCUUGCAUUGAUUACGUCCCUGCCCUUUGUACACACCGCCCGUCGCACCUACCGAUUGAGUGAUCCGGUGAAUUAUUCGGACUGCAACGCGCCCAGUUCCUGGAUGCAGUUGCGGUAAGUUUUGUGAACCUUACCACUUAGAGGAAGGAGAAGUCGUAACA